AACGAAAAGUGUGCACUCUGAACGACUUCGUAAGACACCAGGCAGCAGUCCCAGGACAGAUAACAUUAGGAAGCCCACCUAAUGGAUAUUUCUGGAGGUAUGAUGGACAACUGACACAACGGGUGACUUGGAUGCAUUAGGGACUCUGAACGACAUCGGAGGAACCGAUGAAACAGACAGUAUUCUGCCUUUUAUGUAUGAAAGGUUUUUCCAGCACACCGCGAACAGAGGAUUUAAAAACGGCCAGACAACUCCCCCGGGAACCUCAACCCACUCGCUACACAUUCCAUGUCCCAACAAACAACGCACAACUGUGGCCCAAGUGCAUUGCUCUGAAUCACCCCGGCCCAAGAAGGGCUACAGGGCUGCAAAUGUACGGAUUCAAGAACUGGCGCUCUAUGGACACGACUCCCACGAGACCGGCCCUGCAGAAUAGGGAAACACUAGAUGCAAAAAGUCACGCCCCUGCGGUUUCUACGAUUCGUCAGAACAGCCAGCGCAAGAAAAGCCGAGACUCCUCCCCGGCGAAAAACGGUACAGAAGGCCACAUACAUCUAGAGCUGGGGGAUCCUAUGUAACACCCUCUGUUUCACAGAAACUUGGCUCUCUCAGGAUAUACUGUCUUUGUCUACACGGCCAGCUGGGUUCUCAGACAGAAGUAAGGAACUCUCCGGGAAGAAGAAAGGUGGGGGUGUUUGUUUCAUGAUUAACUACUCAUUGUGUGAUUGUGAUAACAUACAGAAACUCAAGUCAUUUUGUUCACCCGACCUAGAAUACCUCAUAUGUUCCGGGUAGCCUCAAAGAAUAACAUUAGCAAAUACACGGAUACGGUGACUGAGUUUGUCAGGAAGUGUACAGGAGAUGUUGUACCCACUGUGACUAUUAAAACCUACCCAAACCAGAAACCGUGGAUAGAGGGCAGCAUUCACACAAAACUGAAAGUGAAAACCAUGGCAUUUAACCAUGGCAAGUUGACUAGGAAUAUGGCCGAAUACAAACACUGUAGUUAUUCCCUCCGUAAGGCAAUCAAACAGGCAAAACGACAGUAUAGAAACAAAGUGGAGUCGCAAUUCAACGGUUCAGACACGAUACGUAUGUGUCAGGAUAACAAAGUAAAAACUAGCCACGUUGCGGACACAGACGUUUUGCUUCCGUACAAGCUAAACACCUUCUUCGCCUGCUUUGAGGAUAAUGCAGUGCUGUCAACGCGGCCCUCUACCAAGGACUGUGGGCUCUCCUUCUCCGUGGGCGACAUGAAUAAGGUAUUUAAUAUAAUUUAACCAUUAUUUAACUAGGCAAGUCAGUUAAGAACAAAUUCUUAUUUACAAUGAUGGCCUACACCAGCCAAACCCGGACGACGCUGGGCCAAUUGUGCACCGCUCUAUGAGACUCCCAAUCAUGGCCCCACUUGCUUCAAGAUGUCCACCAUUGUUCUUGUACCCAAGAAAGCAAAGGUAACUUAACAAAAUGACUCUCACCCCAUAGAUCUCACUUCUGUCAUCAUGAAGUGCUUUUCCUCCUACUUGGAGGAUUCCCAGAUUUCCUACUUAUUCCCUCCCCUAAUUUGGGGAAAUGUGUAACAUUAACAUAUAACCUAGAAGUCAUCCUGUCUAACACAAACCAGGUCAAACAGCAGCAGGGGAAAUGUGCAACAUUAACAUAUAUCCUAGAAGUGUCAUACCCUGAUCUGUUUCACCUGUCUUUGUGCUUGUCUCCACCUCUCUCCAGGUGUCGCCCAUCUUCCCCAUUAUCCCCAGUGUAUUUAUACCUGUGUUCUCUGUUUGUCUGUUGCCAGGUCGCUUUGUACAUCAAACUUACAGCGUUUUCCCCUUGCUCCUGUCUUGUUCUAGUUUCGGUUUUCUAGUUUUCCCGGUUUUUGACCUUUCUGCCUGCCCUGACCCUGACCCUGCCAUUCUGUACCUUGUCACACCACAUUGGAUUAUUAAUCUCUGCCUUACCUGACCCCAAGACUGCCUGCUGUUCUUUACCUUAGGGACUCUGAUCUGGAUUACUGACCCCUGUUCUAGUAAUAAACUUGUGUUACUUCGACACUGUAUGCUUCUGGGUCUUCUCCUAAAAUGUGAUAAACUGCUUACAGGGUAAAGGCGUCAGCAGGCUUCAGUUUGGCUGGCGCCUAGCUGAACUCGACUAGCCGAACUGAACCAAAAAAUCGGCAACAGUACUGUUUGUCCAUUUUGAGAUGCCGUAACCAGUAUACACCUCCUCAAAAUAGUCAGAUUUGUUCUAAGAUAC
Long non-coding RNA from Oncorhynchus keta (chum salmon), 2253 nucleotides. RefSeq lists it as uncharacterized. The record is from RefSeq and is a predicted model, not a curated record. The transcript is spliced from 4 exons. NCBI's taxonomy places the organism in Eukaryota, Metazoa, Chordata, Actinopteri, Salmoniformes, Salmonidae.